Molecule: unclassified non-coding RNA, 367 nt
Filed under: fungal sp.
Lineage: Eukaryota; Fungi
Description: partial internal transcribed spacer region
Rfam family: Eukaryotic small subunit ribosomal RNA (bases 1-46)
Source: RNAcentral
AAGUCGUAACAAGGUUUCCGUAGGUGAACCUGCGGAAGGAUCAUUAACAAAUUCCAAACUUUUAUAAACCCCUUUGUGGACCUUGAUAUAACGUUUUUUUUUGUUUCUUUCUUUUUUCGGAAAGUUGAAAGGGAAAAAAAAGACAAAAAAAAAGGUUUUUUGUUUGUCUUUCCCCUUGGGGAUGACAGACAAGUUCAAGCCUUUCUUUUUUUAGUUUUUUUUUUUCAUUUUUCUUUUUUCCUCGAAGAAAGAAAGGAACAAAAUAUAUAUGUAUCAAACCUGUUUAUCAACUUUACUAUUUUCUUUUUUCUAUUUCAAAAAAAUAUGAAAUUGAAAACAACUUUUAACAACGGAUCUCUAGGCUCUC